Molecule: ribosomal RNA, 896 nt
Filed under: Cantharellus applanatus
Lineage: Eukaryota; Fungi; Basidiomycota; Agaricomycetes; Cantharellales; Hydnaceae
Description: partial large subunit ribosomal RNA
Rfam family: Eukaryotic large subunit ribosomal RNA
Source: RNAcentral
ACUUAAGCAUAUCACUAAGCGGAGGAAAAGAAACUAACUAGGAUUCCCCCAGUAACUGCGAGUGAAGAGGGAAGAGCUCAUCAUUGGAAUCUGGCAGUGUUGCACUGUCCGAGUUGUAGAUGAGGAGUAGUCCGUCUGGACUGCAUGGCGUCCAAGUACAAUAGGCCGUCAGUGGGACAUCAUAGAGGGUGACAAUCCCGUCCUUGACGCCAAUGUGCAAGUCUAUUACGAUGGCUAUCUCAGAGAGUCGAGCAGUUUGGGAUUUGCUGCUUAAACAUGGGAGGUAGAUUCCUUCUAAAGCUAAAUACAGGCGAGAGACCGAUAGAGAACAAGUACCGCAAGGGAAAGAUGAAAUAGCACUCUGUGAAGGGAGUCAAAAGGCGUGAAAUUGUUGCGAGAGAAGCGAUUCAAGUCAGCGUAGCUAGGCCCAUCAAGCGUCUUCGCUUUGGACUAGCUUUGCCAGCGGUCUUGUCCCUUGAAGAGACUUGACUUGUAAUAUGUCCAGCCUGGCGUGCACAGGCAGCCCCUUCUGGGGGCCAGUGGCAUGGCUGGUGGAAUGGCUUGCAAUCGACCCGUCUUGAAACACGGACCAAGGAGUCUAACAUGUAUGCGAGUAUAAGGGUGGCAAACCCGUAUGCGCAAUGAAAGUGAUUUUCGGUGAUUGAGAAUGGCCUGAUGACCAGACAAGCAAUAUAUGUCCCUCGUACGGCCAUUGCCCAAGUUCCGUGGUAGAUCCCACGAACAUGGAGUUGGAGCAUACAUGCUAGGACCCGAAAGAUGGUGAACUAUGCCUGGACAAAGCGAAGCCAAAGGAAACUCUGGUGGAGGCUUGUAGCGAUUCUGACGUGCAAAUCGAUCGUCUGAUCUGGGUAUAGGGGCGAAAGACUAAUCGAACC